UGCAAGUCGAGCGGAUUGAUGGGAGCUUGCUCCCUGAUAUCAGCGGCGGACGGGUGAGUAACACGUGGGUAACCUGCCUGUAAGACUGGGAUAACUCCGGGAAACCGGGGCUAAUACCGGAUAACUCAUUUCCUCGCAUGAGGAAAUGUUGAAAGAUGGCUUCGGCUAUCACUUACAGAUGGACCCGCGGCGCAUUAGCUAGUUGGUGAGGUAACGGCUCACCAAGGCAACGAUGCGUAGCCGACCUGAGAGGGUGAUCGGCCACACUGGGACUGAGACACGGCCCAGACUCCUACGGGAGGCAGCAGUAGGGAAUCUUCCGCAAUGGACGAAAGUCUGACGGAGCAACGCCGCGUGAGUGAUGAAGGUUUUCGGAUCGUAAAGCUCUGUUGUUAGGGAAGAACAAGUGCCGUUCGAAUAGGGCGGCACCUUGACGGUACCUAACCAGAAAGCCACGGCUAACUACGUGCCAGCAGCCGCGGUAAUACGUAGGUGGCAAGCGUUGUCCGGAAUUAUUGGGCGUAAAGCGCGCGCAGGUGGUUCCUUAAGUCUGAUGUGAAAGCCCACGGCUCAACCGUGGAGGGUCAUUGGAAACUGGGGGACUUGAGUGCAGAAGAGGAAAGUGGAAUUCCAAGUGUAGCGGUGAAAUGCGUAGAUAUUUGGAGGAACACCAGUGGCGAAGGCGACUUUCUGGUCUGUAACUGACACUGAGGCGCGAAAGCGUGGGGAG
Molecule: ribosomal RNA, 730 nt
Filed under: Rossellomorea vietnamensis
Lineage: Bacteria; Bacillati; Bacillota; Bacilli; Caryophanales; Bacillaceae
Description: bacterial SSU rRNA
Rfam family: Bacterial small subunit ribosomal RNA
Source: RNAcentral